Molecule: long non-coding RNA, 146 nt
Organism: Danio aesculapii
Lineage: Eukaryota; Metazoa; Chordata; Actinopteri; Cypriniformes; Danionidae
Exons: 3
Source: RefSeq, a predicted model, not a curated record
ACUGACCUGUUGAUAUCAGAAGACCACAACAGCUCUGCAAUGCAAGUUGCAAAACAGAAUCCAUGAAACUGGCAGUGACCGGAAACCAAUUGGAAGACUUUGGUUUAUGAUGUAGAGAAGUGGGCAGACGCAGAAGCAAAGACAAC